GAAACCGCAACCGGUGCCGCCGCUACAUCCUCCUUAGCGUUAGCUGCUACGGCGAGCGCUAGUAGCGCUAGUAAUAGCUGGAAUAGGAGAAAAAGGUUUAUAAAGAACUGAGAAUCUGUCUCGAUUUCAAUCAACUAUUCUAUACUCAAAAG
Long non-coding RNA from Diprion similis, 152 nucleotides. RefSeq lists it as uncharacterized. The record is from RefSeq and is a predicted model, not a curated record. The transcript has 3 exons. NCBI's taxonomy places the organism in Eukaryota, Metazoa, Arthropoda, Insecta, Hymenoptera, Diprionidae.